Molecule: ribosomal RNA, 331 nt
Filed under: uncultured bacterium
Lineage: Bacteria
Description: bacterial SSU rRNA
Rfam family: Bacterial small subunit ribosomal RNA
Source: RNAcentral
CGUGCAGGCGGUUUGGUAAGUUGGAUGUGAAAGCUCCUGGCUCAACUGGGAGAGGUCGUUCAAUACUACCAGGCUUGAGAGUGGUAGAGGGAGGUGGAAUUCCCGGUGUAGUGGUGAAAUGCGUAGAUAUCGGGAGGAACACCAGUGGCGAAAGCGGCCUCCUGGACCAUUUCUGACGCUCAGACGCGAAAGCUAGGGGAGCAAACGGGAUUAGAGACCCCGGUAGUCCUAGCUGUAAACGAUGUGAACUUGGCGUCGGUGGUGUAAAACCAUCGGUGCCGCAGCCAACGCGAUAAGUUCACCGCCUGGGGACUACGGCCGCAAGGUUAAA